Molecule: ribosomal RNA, 746 nt
Filed under: uncultured bacterium
Lineage: Bacteria
Description: bacterial SSU rRNA
Rfam family: Bacterial small subunit ribosomal RNA
Source: RNAcentral
AGAGUUUGAUCAUGGCUCAGAGCGAACGCUGGCGGCAGGCUUAACACAUGCAAGUCGAGCGGGCGUAGCAAUACGUCAGCGGCAGACGGGUGAGUAACGCGUGGGAACGUACCUUUUGGUUCGGAACAACACAGGGAAACUUGUGCUAAUACCGGAUAAGCCCUUACGGGGAAAGAUUUAUCGCCGAAAGAUCGGCCCGCGUCUGAUUAGCUAGUUGGUGAGGUAACGGCUCACCAAGGCGACGAUCAGUAGCUGGUCUGAGAGGAUGAUCAGCCACAUUGGGACUGAGACACGGCCCAAACUCCUACGGGAGGCAGCAGUGGGGAAUAUUGGACAAUGGGCGCAAGCCUGAUCCAGCCAUGCCGCGUGAGUGAUGAAGGCCCUAGGGUUGUAAAGCUCUUUUGUGCGGGAAGAUAAUGACGGUACCGCAAGAAUAAGCCCCGGCUAACUUCGUGCCAGCAGCCGCGGUAAUACGAAGGGGGCUAGCGUUGCUCGGAAUCACUGGGCGUAAAGGGUGCGUAGGCGGGUCUUUAAGUCGGGGGUGAAAUCCUGGAGCUCAACUCCAGAACUGCCUUUGAUACUGAAGAUCUUGAGUUCGGGAGAGGUGAGUGGAACUGCGAGUGUAGAGGUGAAAUUCGUAGAUAUUCGCAAGAACACCAGUGGCGAAGGCGGCUCACUGGCCCGAUACUGACGCUGAGGCACGAAAGCGUGGGGAGCAAACAGGAUUAGAUACCCUGGUAGUCCAA